UUAGCAAAAUCACUGCACCUCCUUUUGGACGAAUUUUAUUUCCGAGAAAUAGAUUGCAGUGUUCUCUCCAGACGCGUGGUUCCGUGCGUGAGUGUGUGUGUGUGUUCGAUGAAAACGUGUUGGAACAAGUAAGAGACAAAAUGGACGAGAUUGAACCUAGUGGUCUUCGGCUUUUUUUUUUCUGGAGAAGAAUGUGUGCUGGUGGUGCUUUGGUGAAAUUUGAGAAAGUAUUUAUGGACCAGUGAAAAAUAUAACUAGACAGCUUUUCCAGACGAUCAGGCAGCUUUGGUCGAUUACAUAUGAAAUAUUUAAAACCCGAUCUUCAUCUGCUUGAGAAAUCAACGAAACGAAUGCCUGAAUAUUGCGGACGAAGUACUUACAGCAAACAGUCCGUGAAGCACAACACAACAUUCCACAACCGUAAGCCACAAAAAUUUCCCCAGCUUAGCAAUGCCGUCUGGACCCAGAAUGGUAAUAGAUGGUUUCAAGUUAUAAAUAACAUUCAACAUAGAUGUGAGAGGUGUCGUUGGCCAAACAGCUUAAGCUGAGAACAAUCAACAGGACAUUGUCGAGUAAGUUGUUAAGAUGCAUUGGAAUGAUGACGGAUUGAGUUGCUAAUGUGCUCAUGAACUAAUCGGCGAAGGGAUCGCAAGAUUCUGAAGUGGUAGAGGCAGUGG
Molecule: long non-coding RNA, 677 nt
Organism: Anopheles aquasalis
Lineage: Eukaryota; Metazoa; Arthropoda; Insecta; Diptera; Culicidae
Source: RefSeq, a predicted model, not a curated record